GUGGCGGACCUGGAGAGGGAAUGGAAUCUUAGGGGGGGGCCUUACCCCAUACCCUGCCUUGUACAGCUCUUCCAUCUGGCUGUCCCUGAGUUCUAUCCUUUUGGAAUAAACCAAUGACCUAACUUUUCCCCUGAAAAAAAACUCACACAAAUGGGGCUCUGGUGAUGAAAGUAUGAGGAACCAGGAUGAAGUUACCUGUUUGUUUCCCUCUCUCCAGUCCUCCAGUCUCAUUCCCUGGGAUUACUUCCCAAGAGAAAUACCAGCUCUGCCCAUGAGCUCUUGUCUAAGGCUCCUUCUGGGGAAAUCCAAGGCAACUGGUUUAUCAUGUGCUGGUGUUUAUUCCCUCUCUCCUCUGGCCUUGAAGAAGCUCAGCACGAGACUGGCGUCAACAUCUUUCCAACUCCAGAUGACCCGCAAGUUCACCUUUUGGGAGUAACUUUCCCUCACACUUUGUAUUUGACCCGAUUAGCUUUUUUAUUUUGGCAUUGUUCUACUGUAUUUCAUGUCUCUAUAUAAUCUGCCUGAAAUCAUUUUUGGAAGACAGAGUACACAAAAAUUGACAAACUGUAUGAAGUCAGAAACAUACUGAGUUCCCUCAGGGUCUUUCCUUUCCUUGAGAAGCACAGUUUGGUGCAGUGGGAGGAAUGACGUGGAAAGGGGACCGCCAGUUUCUGAAUGUGCUCUCCUCACAGGCGAGGCCUGAGGCAAGUUGCUUAGCUUCCCCAGACAUCAGGCUUGAGAAGGUUUGCUUUCGUCCCCGAAAUUCAUGGAACUUUCUCUUGUCCUGGUUUCCCUGACUGCCCUAAAGUAAGUAUGUAUGAUGAGAGGGGCCCAUUUACCAGACACUUCAUGAGGCUGUGUAUGUAGAGCUACAUAUGAGCUA
This is a long non-coding RNA of Mustela erminea (ermine), 883 nucleotides long. RefSeq lists it as uncharacterized. The record is from RefSeq and is a predicted model, not a curated record. The transcript has 4 exons. Lineage: Eukaryota; Metazoa; Chordata; Mammalia; Carnivora; Mustelidae.